Molecule: ribosomal RNA, 394 nt
Filed under: uncultured bacterium
Lineage: Bacteria
Description: bacterial SSU rRNA
Rfam family: Bacterial small subunit ribosomal RNA
Source: RNAcentral
CGCAUCCUUCGGGAUGAGCGGCGGACGGUGAGUAACGCGUGGGAAUGUGCCCUUCUCUACGGAAUAGCCACUGGAAACGGUGAGUAAUACCGUAUACGCCCUCAGGGGGAAAGAUUUAUCGGAGAAGGAUCGGCCCGCGUUAGAUUAGGUAGUUGGUGGGGUAACGGCCUACCAAGCCUACGAUCUAUAGCUGGGUUUUAGAGGAUGAUCAGCAACACUGGGACUGAGACACGGCCCAGACUCCUACGGGAGGCAGCAGUGGGGAAUCUUAGACAAUGGGCGCAAGCCUGAUCUAGCCAUGCCGCGUGAGUGAUGAAGGCCUUAGGGUCGUAAAGCACUUUCAACGGUGAAGAUGAUGACGGUAGCCGUAGAAGAAGCCCCGGCUAACUUCGUG